UGUGAAUUGCACAGAUUGGGUAAUGGAACACUAAACAUUUAUACUUGAAAAUGACAGCCUUAAAUGCUUAUAUCAGUCACAAAUCUAGGAUGUACUGUCUUUGUAUGUGAGCUUUGUAGAGAUUUUUUAAAAUACAAGCAUCAUCUUCCCCAUUGAAGAGUGGAGAGUCUACUGGAUAACUAGUCAGAAGCUUUCUCUCAGAACUGGACAUUGGAUAUCUUCCUUCUCUCAAGAAAUGGUGGUUCACACUAUCAUGGCCUUAUGUAUGGUAAAAUGGAAUCUUCUGUAACUUUCUCAUUUAAUUGUGGUCUAUUUUUAGGUAGACUUGAAGGAAUUGUAUAAAUCAGUUAACAUAUUAUCUGAGUUGUCCAACACAGGGUAUAAGGGAAUUAAGACAGUAAAGUAUUAUACAUUUCCUAGUUGCCUUUGGGAAUUUGAUGGGGAUUUUUUUUUUCAAAUUUACAUCUUUGAAACCCUUCACACUUGGGUUACUAGGCAAUGAAAAUUAAAAUCUAGAAUUUGUCCUGCCCUAAGAGAUGGAUUAGGAAUCUGGAAACACAAACUGGUGUCACCUGCUUCUUGACUGGGCCUCAGUUUCCUCACCUUACAGUAUGGAAGGUAGAAGAGACGAUCUCCAGUGUCUCUCCCAUCUAUCAGUUCUUAGUGUCUUCUUUCCUGAUCACAGUAAUCGUUGUUGGAUACCACCUUCUCCAGAUGGUAAAGAUCAUGUACACAGACUUUCAGAACUCUAAGGGAAGAUGAUUGUAUUAUCUGAACCUGGGGUGCGUUAAGUGCUCUACUGACCUUGAUGGGGUUUGGAGUUUGUCAUUGCUUAUUCAGAGCUUUUUAAUUGCUUUAGUUAUUUAGUGUUUCUUUUUGCAAUCCUUCCUGCUACUUAAACUAAAAACCAAAGAUUUGUUUUCUAUUCAUAAGCAGAUUGUAGAAAAAUUGCCUUACUUUCAGAGACAUGUUUUUUCAUUAAAGGCUUAGGUUUUAAUAGAAAUUCAGAUGAAUCUCUGGAAUCACUCUUUCAAACUAGUAAACUAUUUGGGAAAUAAAAUACACUUCAAAAAUACUUUAUUGCCAUGAAUUUUGCUAGUAAAUGCAAAUAUAU
Molecule: long non-coding RNA, 1114 nt
Filed under: Heterocephalus glaber (naked mole-rat)
Lineage: Eukaryota; Metazoa; Chordata; Mammalia; Rodentia; Bathyergidae
Description: lncRNA (ENSHGLG00100048737.1)
Source: RNAcentral